GACGAACGCUGGCGGCGUGCCUAAUACAUGCAAGUAGGACGCAGUUGCGAACGGGUGAGUAACGCGUAGGUAACUACCUAUUAGAGGGGGAUAACUAUUGGAAACGAUAGCUAAUACCUCAUACUAGUAGAUGGCCCUCCGUUGUAUUAGCUAGUAGGUAGGGUAAUGGCCUACCUAGGCAACGAUACAUAGCCGACAUGAGAGGGUGAGCGGCCAAACUGGGACUGAGACACGGCCCGGACGACUGCGGGAGGCAGCAGUAGGGAAUCUUCGGCAAUGGGGGGAACCGUGACCGAGGAACGCCGCGUGAAUGAAGAAGGUGUUCGGAUCGUAAGGAUCAGUUGUUAAGGAAGCGGUACUUAACCAGAAAGGGACGGCUAACUACGUGCCAGCAGCCGCGGUAAUUC
RNAcentral lists this ribosomal RNA (407 nucleotides) under uncultured bacterium. RNAcentral's name for it is "partial 16S ribosomal RNA". It matches the Rfam family "Bacterial small subunit ribosomal RNA", at positions 28 to 526 of the family's 1533-position model. The record is from RNAcentral.